RNAcentral lists this ribosomal RNA (407 nucleotides) under Klebsiella pneumoniae. RNAcentral's name for it is "partial 23S ribosomal RNA". It matches the Rfam family "Bacterial large subunit ribosomal RNA", at positions 2409 to 2815 of the family's 2925-position model. Lineage: Bacteria; Pseudomonadati; Pseudomonadota; Gammaproteobacteria; Enterobacterales; Enterobacteriaceae. The record is from RNAcentral.
GGCUUAGUGAUCCGGUGGUUCCGCAUGGAAGGGCCAUCGCUCAACGGAUAAAAGCUACCCUGGGGAUAACAGGCUUAUCUCCCCCAAGAGUCCACAUCGACGGGGAGGUUUGGCACCUCGAUGUCGGCUCAUCGCAUCCUGGAGCUGAAGUAGGUUCCAAGGGUUGGGCUGUUCGCCCAUUAAAGCGGUACGCGAGCUGGGUUCAGAACGUCGUGAGACAGUUCGGUCCCUAUCUGUCGUGGGCGCAGGAAAUUUGAGAGGAGCUGUCCUUAGUACGAGAGGACCGGGAUGGACAUACCUCUGGUGUACCAGUUGUCGUGCCAACGGCAUCGCUGGGUAGCUAUGUAUGGACGGGAUAAGUGCUGAAAGCAUCUAAGCAUGAAGCCCCCCUCAAGAUGAGAUUUCCC